Molecule: long non-coding RNA, 5059 nt
Filed under: Equus caballus (horse)
Lineage: Eukaryota; Metazoa; Chordata; Mammalia; Perissodactyla; Equidae
Description: lncRNA (ENSECAG00000044425.1)
Source: RNAcentral
GUAAAUUUUACCCAGUGAUUUCAAUCUCAGAGCAAUAGCGCCAUGGGUCAAAUGUUUCUCUCUAUUUAUUACAACAUGUAAGGUCAUAAAUGAAGACGGGAGCGGUGGGAACGAGUGUUUUAAGUCCUCUCAGUCAGACCUAUUCCAGGAGAAUUUAUCUGAAACGCAGAGCAACCCAGAGUAAACUUGUCUUAUGAUCAUGAAUUUUGGCAAAAUAUCAAGAAAUUUGGAAAGUGAUCAAAUUCCUUUCACCUUCAAGAAAGAGAAGUAUGAGGUCGACUACCUUCAUAAAGCUAGAAGAAGUUGCAAAAAAUAGCUGAAGACGUCCACAAUUUCUUGGAUUCUCCACUCAAACAACGAAAAGGAAAGCGUCCUCCGUGGUGGUGUUUCUCUGAAGAACUGGCUGGAGGAACGCCGUUUGAACUGAGACCGUUGGCGCUGCAGAUCUCUGUGGCAGAUAGAAAGAGAGAACAUGGAAGCAAGUGAGGUGUCCAAGGACUUCAUCACAAACACCGAAUUCCAAUCUUUAUUACCAGACGAAAUUUUUCCUGAGUCAUCCAAGGAAGACAAACGUUUGCUGUUGGCUGGUCACGGCUUCCGUCUUGACUGCUUCAUCUGCGAAUCCGAUGAGUCGUAACAAUCCGGGUGGAUUGAGUUCAACUUUCCUUUUACCUACCUUUGGACCAGUAGAUACUCAAAAUUGAGCCACCAGACUCCAUAGGCACAUUUUCCCCCAUGGAAAGUAUGAGAGGGUGUGUGUGAGUCCAAGAUGAACUAUGGGAAGGAAAGGAAAAUGCAUGAGGACUGUUGACUUCGAUGGAAUCCCUAUUUGAAGAGUUCAUUUGUCCGUGAUAGUGUGGUGCUGAAGAGUAGCCAAAGAUACACUGUUUCAACUAACAGUUUCUCUACAUUAGGGUGGUGGUACCAGCACUAGCACUACACGCAUCUCCUCCCAGCUCUGCCUUAAUGCCACAGGCCCCCGCCCAGUACCCAAGAAGUCAAGUUUCCAUCCUAACUCUCCCCAAACAGGUGAGGGAAGAGGCAUGAAGGAAGUCCCACAGCCACACCAGGAGACAUAAUCAGAGCCAGAUGCCAAGCUUUCUGAAUCAAGUGGACUCACAUGCCAUAAAAAUGAGUGGUUUAUUAUAGGCCUCUAAUUAACAAAAUAUGGUUUUUACAUACAGCCAACAGAGUGUACCCCACUGUGUGCCCAUAAAACACGCUUGGCAAAUUGGAAAUAACAGAAUGGCCAUUUUCACCACAUUAAGAAGACUGAGCUCGAGUUUUGUAUUACGUCUACCUUGCAUCAACCCUACAAGGAGCAAAGUCAAAUAGUCAGUCAAUAUUUAGUACAUCAUUCACUUAAUAAAAUCUUUUGAGUGUUUACUGUAAGCAAAACUAACAUACGCAGAAUCGUUGGAAGUAAAAACUUGACUCCAUCUAUAGCCCAAAUUUCAGGCAUGCCUUUAAAUUACAACUAUUUUGUUUAAAAUUUUGUCAAAUGGCCAUUUUGUAAAUUAACUUACUAAAAUGACCGUUCAGGGACAGAGGACAGACAGGAUCAUCUGGGGCCAUAUUAUUCCUCCAUUGUCCCUUUAGAGAGCCUGUUCAACUGUCACAAAACAAGGCAGUAUAAAUGUGGCUCCAGUGCUCAUCAACUCUUUCUUAAUACUGCUCUCAUUAUAUUAAUACUCAAGGACAGCGAUGAUGGUCGUGACAAGCGUCAUAAAUGAUGAAGUACUGCAUCUUCGCGAGGUAAUUGAUUGAGGCACAUUCAGGCUAUUGAGCUUUCCACAAUUGGCAGGUGUGUCUUUUAUAAAAUCCCAGAUCAAGGGCCAGCCUGGGUAGCCCAGUGGUUAAGUUCAGCACGCUCUGCUUUUUUUGGUGGCUCGGGUUCAGUUCCUGGGCGCAGACCUACACCACUCUGUUAGUGGCCAUGCUGUGCUGGCAGCCCACAUACUAAAAAGUAGAGGAAGAUUGGCACUGAUGUUCACUCAGGGUGAAUCUUCCAUAAGAAAAUUAAAAAAUAAAAAUAAUUUUAAAAACCCCAAGUCUAAAGAAAGAGAGAAAGGUCUUCACUGGCCUCCGUGGUCCACAGCUCCUCUAUAUACAGUGUGAGAAGGACAGCUCUGGGACCAGGCGAGGCUCUCUAUGGCUCUGUUCCUUAGGAGUGGGGGCAGCAGCUGCAUCACUUACACGCAUGGUGGCAUUCCACUGCCAGCAUCUGCCAGCCACUGCUGAACUGCGCUAACUGAGAAGUAAAACUCCUUGCCAGUGAGUGCACUGAUUGGCGUGCCGAGAGCCGACUCCCAGCAGUAGAGAGGCCUGCAGCCAGAGGACAAUCGAUGACGAUGAACAGGUCAAAUAAAAGCAUGUUCCUGGGGUCCAACUUGGUUUUGAAAGCUGAAGUGUCCUGAUCGUAUCCAGUUAACCACAUGUAGGGCUGCUGUAUUUUCUCUGCUCUGAAAACGCAGGUGUUACCACACCAGGAAGUUGGCUGCGUUAGGAGGUUCUCGAAAGCGCUGCUUCUGGUACUAAGGUCCCACUUAUUGGUAGCCCCACGCCCCUCGCAUCCCUUCUCACAGUCUCUCAAGCCCCAUGUGGAGUAUGGAAUUGAAUAAACAAGGUUCCAUCCAGAGAAGACCAAGUCCUCCUUAUGCGUAUUCAUUCCUGGAGAGUGCUAAGCAUCUCUUCUGAGACGGACUGAGAAUGCCCUGUAAGAAACCAUGUCUGAAAGCAGAGCACAGUCUCUGGGAGGAGCUUCCUGGUGCUGGAAACAACAAGGGUAUGAUUUCUAUUAAUCUGCGAAAAUGCACUCGUUCAAAUGAGAGAAGUGGAUGGAUAAAAAACUCAUCAGGGUAUGUUGAUGCCACACUCCUACUCCUUUAGGUAUUGUCUUGUAGAUUUCAACCAACAAUCAAGUAUCAACACUAAGCAUCAAUCAAUAAUCUAGUAAUCAUCAAGUAUCAAUUGAUCAACAUUUAUUAUCUAUUCUUUGCUAGAAAGGGAUGUAAGAUAAAAACAAGACAUUUUCCCUACCCUUUUUAUAUUUAAGGCAUACGUAAUUCGCUUAAUAAAAACUUUUAAGUAUAUACUCUAGGCAAAACUAACAUACAUAGAAUCAUUGGAAAUAAAAGCUGGACUCUAUCUGUAGCCCAAAUUUCAGACAUGCUUUUAAAUCUCCAAACAAAUUUAAACUUUUUUUUCCAUAUAGAGAACAUUCAAAUAUUUAAAGAUAAUAUACAUAUUGUCUUCUUUGUUCCAGGCUAAAAUUUUUUUAACUGUUUCUCAUAUGAUAAGAUUUUUUAAAUCAUGCCCCAUCUUAAUUAUCUCUAAAUACUCUCCCAUUUUAAGCAUCAUUCUUAAUAUGAUCUGGCUCUAUGCCUUCACUCUAUGAAACUCUACCUUCUUAUCUGUGAAAUGGCAGAGUUAGGCUAGAUUAAUAAGAUUGUAUCCUCCUAUCAUUAAAAAAACUGAUUUGAACAAACUUCCGCUCCCAUAGGUCUACGCAUCUAUGCAAUAUCCUCCGAGAGCACUGUCUUCACAUCAGACAUGUUGAAAAGAGAUUAGGAUUGCGUGGCAACCACCGUAAAGGAUGUGGUUUCUAGAGAAUUUGUCAGGAACAGAGGUCGUAUGUUGUCUAGUGUGACAGAUGGACGGAUUCAUUUACAAGGUCACCAGAUGCGUGACCUACAAAGGCUCUUAGCUCUUCGGGUCCAACUCACUCUUUUUACUGAGUGGAAAAGAGAUCCAGGUGCCAAGUCACUUGUUCACGAGCAACACUGUGUGUAGCAUACUUAUUUUCCAAAAACGUUAGCAGCACGAUUUCUGAUCCCACCUGGUCUUAGAGACCCUUGCCACACCUCCAUCAAGAAGUAGGGUCUGUCUCCCCUCUCCUGGUGACAGCUUCCAGGAAGAGAAUGCAGCAGAAGUGAUGCUGUGUGAGUUCCGAGGCUAGAUCAUAAUAGGCCACGUGGCACAUGGCUCCCUCUCUCUGUCUCAUUCAUCUCUCUGCACAUCUUUGGAGCCCUGAACCACCACAUAAGAAUUCUGGUUUUCCAGAAGCCAACAAACUAGAGAGACCACGUAGAGAGACCAAAGAGAGGCAUCGGAGAGCCCCGCUGGCCAGCCUCCAGCUGUUUGCAUCUUCCCAGCUCAGGAGUCAAAGACAGUCUACAUUCUUAACACCAUGUGGUAUUGGAUGCCCUGCUGGGGAAUGGAUGCCUAACCGAAGAGGCAAUAGAAAAAACGUUGUUUUUAAAGAGAGGACUAAUAUAAUACAGUGGAACUCCAGGAUCAGGAGUUAAGAAAAGAAAUAAAGGACGUGAGGACAUUGAAUUAGAAUAUAGAAAUGCAGGAUAUACAAUCACAGACUUGGAGAGAGAUCUUAACUAAGUCUGCCUUCUGACAUUUGGUGUGACUCCUGACACAUGCACAAAUGUCUACAGGAUGCUGGUUCUACUCUUCUCUUGGAGUGAGACAAGGUUUAUGACAAGGGACCACAUGACUUCUCAUCAAAGAGACAUGAGGAGGAGAUGAGAGUUCAGUAUGAAGACUCUACAAACGGACUCAAAAACCUUUGGAUACCUUCUUGAAACAGCCCCAAACUCAUAUUCUUUUUCUGAAAAGUCACUUGGUCCCAUUUUUGAACCUGUAGAGUGAUAAUAAAUUACCCUCGUCACCACCCUCCUCACUAGGAUAUUGAAAGAAUUAAUGAGAUAGUGUCUGUUAAAUGCUUUGAGCUUAUUGGAAGGUGUCAAGAAAGAAAAAUAAGAAAUACUAUUAUCUUUGAAGCCCUUCUAAUCCAAUGAGCUUCAGCGAAGCCUAAAAAUACCUCCAGUCUCUCUUCAAAUCUUUUUCUCCCUAACUUUUAAAGGUUGGCAUGACUGAUUCAUCUACCAUUACUAAAAGCAGUCAACAAAAUGGAAAAGAAAAGCUUCAUGCAAAUUGCUCUGUGUUUCUGCACAGGAGGUUAUGCAGAGCAAAGAAUACAACCUACUUCCUGUCCCCCCUAUAGCUCAGGGCCCUAUCUGGUUAUGUGGCUGUAACUUAUCCUCAC